Jeotgalicoccus sp. is the source of this 71-nucleotide transfer RNA. It matches the Rfam family "tRNA". From Rfam's summary of the family: Transfer RNA (tRNA) molecules are approximately 80 nucleotides in length. Their secondary structure includes four short double-helical elements and three loops (D, anti-codon, and T loops). The record is from Rfam. NCBI's taxonomy places the organism in Bacteria, Bacillati, Bacillota, Bacilli, Caryophanales, Staphylococcaceae.
GCGGGUAUAGUUAAAUGGUAUAACCUCAGCCUUCCAAGCUGAUGUUGUCGGUUCGAUCCCGUCUACCCGCU